Molecule: long non-coding RNA, 200 nt
Filed under: Lathyrus oleraceus (garden pea)
Lineage: Eukaryota; Viridiplantae; Streptophyta; Magnoliopsida; Fabales; Fabaceae
Description: Pisum sativum (pea) long non-coding RNA (PSAT_LNC005783)
Source: RNAcentral
GUUGUAGAAAAAAAUCUCAAUAAAAAUGGAAAACAAGGACAUGGAAAUGAAGCUCGUGUGAUAUAGAUCAUCACUAUACCAUUGGAUUUCCCCCACUCUUCCUAUAUUGAGAGAAAGAUGAAGGAGAAAAUCAUGGUGUCCACACGGAUUGCUCAUGAAAUGGCAAAUUGAAUGCAUCAAAGUCUUGCCUCAAGUAUGAG